This 577-nucleotide ribosomal RNA is filed under the name uncultured bacterium. Its description in RNAcentral is "bacterial SSU rRNA". It matches the Rfam family "Bacterial small subunit ribosomal RNA", at positions 163 to 774 of the family's 1533-position model. The record is from RNAcentral.
CUAAUACCGAAUAAUGUCUUCGGACCAAAGAUUUAUCGCCUUUAGAUGGGCCCGCGUAGAUUAGCUAGUUGGUGGGGUAAAAGCCUACCAAGGCGACGAUCCUUAGCUGGUCUUAAGAGGAUGAUCGGCCACACUGGGACUGAGACACGGCCCAGACUCCUACGGGAGGCAGCAGUGGGGAAUAUUGGACAAUGGGCGAAAGCCUGAUCCAGCAAUACCGCGUGAGUGAUGAAGGCCCUAGGGUUGUAAAGCUCUUUUACCCGGGAUGAUAAUGACAGUACCGGGAGAAUAAGCUCCGGCUAACUCCGUGCCAGCAGCCGCGGUAAUACGGAGGGAGCUAGCGUUGUUCGGAUAUACUGGGCGUAAAGCGCACGUAGGCGGCGCAGCAAGUCAGGGGUGAAAUCCCGGAGCUCAACUCCGGAACUGCCCUUGAAACUGCAGUGCUAGAAUCCUGGAGAGGCGAGUGGAAUUCCGAGUGUAGAGGUGAAAUUCGUAGAUAUUCGGAAGAACACCAGUGGCGAAGGCGACUCGCUGGACAGGUAUUGACGCUGAGGUGCGAAAGCGUGGGGAGCAAACA